This 411-nucleotide ribosomal RNA is filed under the name uncultured bacterium. RNAcentral's name for it is "bacterial SSU rRNA". It matches the Rfam family "Bacterial small subunit ribosomal RNA", at positions 100 to 507 of the family's 1533-position model. The record is from RNAcentral.
ACGGUGAGUAAUGCCUAGGAAUCGUGCCUGGUAGUGGGGGACAACGUUUCGAAAGGAACGCUAAUACCGCAUACGGUCCUACGGGAGAAAGCAGGGGACCUUCGGGCCUUGCGCUAUCAGAUGAGCCUAGGUCGGAUUAGCUAGUAGGUGAGGUAAUGGCUCACCUAGGCGACGAUCCGGUAACUGGUCUGAGAGGAUGAUCAGUCACACUGGAACUGAGACACGGUCCAGACUCCUACGGGAGGCAGCAGUGGGGAAUAUUGGACAAUGGGCGAAAGCCUGAUCCAGCCAUGCCGCGUGUGUGAAGAAGGUCUUCGGAUUUUAAAGCACUUUAAGUUGGGAGGAAGGGCAGUAAGUUAAUACCUUGCUGUUUUGACGUUACCAACAGAAUAAGCACCGGCUAACUUCGUG